Non-coding RNA from Peromyscus maniculatus bairdii (prairie deer mouse), 1024 nucleotides. The record is from RefSeq and is a predicted model, not a curated record. NCBI's taxonomy places the organism in Eukaryota, Metazoa, Chordata, Mammalia, Rodentia, Cricetidae.
CCUUUGUCCUGAAUUGUUCUCUGCACUGCUACAUGCCAUCUAAUCCUAAUUCUCUCUGUGUAUUCUCAAAGGUGAUAUGUGAAAUAUUUAAAGACAUCAGCAGAUUAGUUGUGCCUUGGGAAUAUCCAGUCAGAAGAGACUAGCCCUAAGAAUGGAAACAGAGCCCUGGAUACUCAUGCUUGUGGGAAAUCUUCUAUUAUUACAGGUUAGCAAUGUCCAUGCACAUUGGAAUAAGGAAUCUAAAUAGAUUACCUCAAUGAAUUAGCCCCACAAUUCCAUGAAGUCUGGUUUUUGGACAGGGAAGUUAAGGCUGUAAUCAGUGAAGUGACUUUCCUGAAACCACACAGCAAGUGAUCAUACUCAACUCAGGUGGGAUUAACAGUGGCACCCAGCUUUAAUCCCAGCACUCAGGAGGCAGAGACAGGCUGCUUGGUCUAUAGAGUUCCAGGAUAGCCAGGGUUACACGGAGAAGCCCUGUCUCGGAAAACCAACCAACCAAACAAACAAACAAAAAACCCCAAAUCCCCAAACAAACAAACAAACAGACCCAUUUAAGCAACAAAGGAAUGUCACUGGCUUAUUUACCCACGAGUACAGUGAAAUCUGGCUUGAAAUGUGCUUCAGUCUAAUGGCUCAAAUGAUUUCAGGUGUGGGGAUGGGAAGCCUAGGAAGUUGGCAGGGUCUGUGGUCAUAUGGACCAGGUGGCAGCUUCCAGCGUUCUGCUGAGGUUGGUGAGGAUGUGCCUCCUGGAUGUCUGAGGGCAUCUCACAUGCGUAAGCUUCCUGACUGCCCAGGCUUGACUUCAGCCAGCCAAUGGAAUGAAGGUGACUGCUCUGUAGCUCCUUUACAACAGACCUCGGGGGCUCUUCCCGGGAGACACUAACGUGUUUUAUUGCUUCUUGGCACUAGUGAUGAACUAUUUAUGCUAACGACAUUAUGCUUAGAGACAGUCACUGUUGAAAUAAGUACAAUGUACUGGAUCUUGGCUUUGCAAAGUUAAGAUGAAAUGGUAUGUUGCAAUCAA